UAUCAGCGCUCACCUGGCUGGUACCAAGAAGGUUCAGCAAGUGCUCCCCAGACCUGGAGUCCUGGACAGAUUCUUCCCAGACCAGCCUCAAGCUGUGCAGCAGAUCCGAGCGACAUUGGCUGACCUCUACACUCUAGACAUGGCAGGGUAAAGACAUGGUGAUGAAUGAGUGUGUGGGCCGUCUGCUGAGGACCAAGAGCUCAGGACAGUCAGACGGGGGCGUCGCAGCAGGAGUCACCGUGCUCGACAACCCUCUGCUGUCCUGAGAUGUCACACUCCUGCCUGCACAUACAAACCACACUGAAGUCAGAGUUCCACCUGCACCUCCACCUGUUCUUGCAACAGCAUGAAAACUGACAGAGGGUGAAGAGCAGUUAGCAGUGCAUUCAUGGACAUCUUUAAACUAUUAAUUGAAGAAUCUUUGGUCAUGAUGGCAUGAACUAGAAGCGUGAGCUCCAGGUGAGACUGCACAGAACAACAAGUGUCCUUAAACUGCAUCAACUGAUGACGUCUUACAAUUUUAUUCCACUGUGUGUUUUUAUCAUUGAAUG
Molecule: non-coding RNA, 551 nt
Organism: Maylandia zebra (zebra mbuna)
Lineage: Eukaryota; Metazoa; Chordata; Actinopteri; Cichliformes; Cichlidae
Source: RefSeq, a predicted model, not a curated record